UAGGUGAGGACACAGAACAAGGUGGGGGGGGGGGGUUACUCAAGGGGAGGAGAUGUGGUCAAGGUGAAGGACACAGGACAAGAUGGAGUCGGCAGGCGUAGGCCCUCCCUUUCAUCCCCCCCUCGUCAUGUAGCUUACGGACCC
This is a long non-coding RNA of Leopardus geoffroyi (Geoffroy's cat), 144 nucleotides long. RefSeq lists it as uncharacterized. The record is from RefSeq and is a predicted model, not a curated record. The transcript is spliced from 3 exons. Lineage: Eukaryota; Metazoa; Chordata; Mammalia; Carnivora; Felidae.